GGCUUGGUGGCUUAGUGGUUAGCGCGAUUGCCUCGCACCUAUGGAGGUGGGGGUUCGAAUCCCACCUCCU
Molecule: non-coding RNA, 70 nt
Organism: Ameiurus melas (black bullhead)
Lineage: Eukaryota; Metazoa; Chordata; Actinopteri; Siluriformes; Ictaluridae
Source: the annotation of a GenBank genome assembly